Molecule: ribosomal RNA, 405 nt
Filed under: Helix thessalica
Lineage: Eukaryota; Metazoa; Mollusca; Gastropoda; Stylommatophora; Helicidae
Description: partial large subunit ribosomal RNA
Rfam family: Bacterial large subunit ribosomal RNA
Source: RNAcentral
AGCUAUGUGUAUUAAUACAUAGUUAUUUCUGCUCCAUGCUUAGUAAAUAGCCGCAGUACUCUGACUGUGCAAAGGUAGCAUAAUCAGUUGGCUUUUAAUUAGAGUCUAGUAUGAAUGAAAAUAUGGGUGGUAACUGUCUUAGCAUAUUAUUUGAACUUACUAAACAAGUGCAAAUACUUGUAAAUAAAUAAUAGACGAGAAGACCCUAGAAACUUGAAUAAGUUUUUGUUGGGGCGACAAAAUUACAGUUAACUAAUUUUAUAAUACAUGCCGCAAAGUCGAAAGAAUAAGUUACUCUAGGGAUAACAGCAUAAUUUUUAUAGUUUGUGACCUCGAUGUUGGACUAGGUACUACACCCUUUAGACAAGGGUGUAUUAUGCUCUGUUCGAGCAGAUUUACCUACAU